This 996-nucleotide long non-coding RNA is filed under the name Dermacentor andersoni. RNAcentral's name for it is "uncharacterized LOC126540283". Lineage: Eukaryota; Metazoa; Arthropoda; Arachnida; Ixodida; Ixodidae. The record is from RNAcentral.
AGUGGUCGUGCCAUGAAAAGCGGAAUUUUUGCGUUCGAGAAGGCAGAUGCACCUGCAAAGCUGGCAUUACGGCUCAGUGCAAGCACGCAGCUGCGGUGUGCACUUACGUCAACAAUAAACAAGUAAAUUCAUGCACCAGCCAGCCCCAGAAAUGGGGCAAGCCAAGUGGAAAGCCAAAGAGACGCCUAGAACAAGAUGUCUCGGACCUCUUCCCAAAUGGCAUGAGGAAUGACAAGUUCGAAUCAGCAGCACCAGAGCACAUGCCAUCCGCACAAAAAAGGAUGAUGAAGGACUAGAGAGAGCUGCCAAACAGCUUUGCAGGAGAUCGUCAUACACGAGUGCUGCAAUGCGUUAUGGCAUCAAGACAGAAGCCACAGCACGAGACGAGCUCCAGCAAAAGCUUGGUAUCCGCAUAGUGCAGGCAGGACUCAUCGUGCUUCCAGAGCAGCCGUGGUUGUGCUGCAGCCCAGAUGGCCUUGCGAAAAUGGGCGGUGAAACUGUGCUUAUCGAAAUUAAGUGCACAUACAAGUACAAACAGGAACCUUUCAUCAAAUACGAAGAAAGACUAAGCUUGCUUCCCUAUUUAGAGUUCAGUGGGGGCCUGAUUAUUCUCAAAACGACGCACAGCUAUUAUACACAAAUUCAGGUACAAAUGUACGUCCUGAAUUUGCACAGGGCUCUUCUUUAUGUGUACAGUCCCAAGCACUCUGUAAUAGUGCAUGUAAAUCGGGACGAUGCUUUUCUUUGGGACCUUAUACCCAAGUUGGAACGUUUUUAUUUCAAAUUUUUUAUUCCGUCGUUGUUGUAAGUUUCUGUGCUUUCUUUUGUGAACUGGUGCAUGAUAUCUUUUUGAAAUUGAACUUGCGCAUUUGUAAAAACUAAAUUCUUUUGUAUAUUUGAUUUGACAAUUAUUGUGUAGUGAAACCAACUUUUGCAUCUUGUAUUUAAGCAUGAGGUUAUAUGUGUAUUUGAGCGGUGUACUAGCCCCAUUAAACA